GGUUAUGGCUUGGUGGUAAAGCAAUCGCUUAGCAUGUGGAAGGCCCUGGGUUCGAUCCUCAGCACCA
RNAcentral lists this transfer RNA (67 nucleotides) under Marmota monax (woodchuck). RNAcentral's name for it is "tRNA.Ala". Lineage: Eukaryota; Metazoa; Chordata; Mammalia; Rodentia; Sciuridae. The record is from RNAcentral.